CCUACGGGAGGCUGCAGUGGGGGAUAUUGCACCAUGGGGGAAACCCUGAUGCAGCACCGCCGCGUGUGGGAAGAAGGUUUUCGGAUUUUAAACCACUGUUCUUGGUGAAGAUAAUGACGGUAACCAAGGCGCAAGCUCCGGCUAACUACGUGCCAGCAGCCGCGGUAAUACGUAGGGAGCAAGCGUUGUCCGGAUUUACUGGGUGUAAAGGGUGCGUAGGCGGUCUUGCAAGACAGACGUGAAUACCACAGGCUCAACCUGUGGACUGCGUUUGAAACUGUGGGACUUGAGUGAAGUAGAGGGAGGCGGAAUGCCCGGUGUAGCGGUGAAAUGCGUAGAGAUCGGGAGGAACACCAGUGGCGAAGGCGGCCUACUGGACUUUAACUGACGCUGAGGCACGAAAGCAGGGGUAGCAAACAGGAUUAGAUACCCGUGUAGUC
RNAcentral lists this ribosomal RNA (440 nucleotides) under uncultured bacterium. RNAcentral describes it as "partial 16S ribosomal RNA". It matches the Rfam family "Bacterial small subunit ribosomal RNA", at positions 338 to 795 of the family's 1533-position model. The record is from RNAcentral.